UUAAUAAUGGUAAGUUUACUUUUCCCGAAAUAAAAAGAUCUAAAAUAAAUUUUUAUGUGUUUUAAAACAUUUUUUUAUUCUUUUUUAGGUGUGAAAGGCUUAUCAAAUUUUAUGAUAUCUGGAUUGAGCUGUAAUGUAUAUAGUGCAGAUAUAGUAUUGAUUAAACCUCUGUUAAGGGAGAUUUAAUUUUUAGAAAAUAAUAGUAUUUUAGUUUUUGAUAACCCUGUAAUAAUCUUUCUACUAUAUAAAUUUUUUUGUUAUUAUUCUUUUUUUUCGGCUUUUAAAAGUUACAAUUUUUAAAUUUUUUAAUAAUGUUAAAAUAAGUAUUUUUAAGUAAUUCCUAUUAAGGAACUCGGCAAAAAGUUUGCUCAACUGUUUAUCAAAAACAUAGUUUUAUGAAAUUUUAUAAAAUGAAACCUGCCCAAUGAAGAUUUAAUGGCCGCAGUACUUUAACUGUGCUAAGGUAGCAUAAUAAUUUGGCUUUUAAUUAAAGUCUGGUAUGAAAGGAUUAAUGGGUGAAAUCUGUCUUGUUUGACUUAAAAAAAAUUACUUAAGAGGUGAAAAUACCUCUGGAGAAUAAUUAGACGAGAAGACCCUAGGAGUUUUUGUUUUGUUGGGGCAACAUUUUAGUAAGGCAAUCUACUUAGUAUAUUUAACGAAUGUAUUAAUUAUAAUUAAACUACCCUAGGGAUAACAGCAUAAUUUUUUUAAAAAUGUGACCUCAUGUUGG
Molecule: ribosomal RNA, 730 nt
Filed under: Innesoconcha princeps
Lineage: Eukaryota; Metazoa; Mollusca; Gastropoda; Stylommatophora; Euconulidae
Description: partial large subunit ribosomal RNA
Rfam family: Bacterial large subunit ribosomal RNA (bases 345-530)
Source: RNAcentral